RNAcentral lists this ribosomal RNA (221 nucleotides) under Clostridioides difficile. RNAcentral's name for it is "partial 16S ribosomal RNA". It matches the Rfam family "Bacterial small subunit ribosomal RNA", at positions 459 to 680 of the family's 1533-position model. The record is from RNAcentral. Lineage: Bacteria; Bacillati; Bacillota; Clostridia; Peptostreptococcales; Peptostreptococcaceae.
AAGGAAGAUAAUGACGGUACUUGAGGAGGAAGCCCCGGCUAACUACGUGCCAGCAGCCGCGGUAAUACGUAGGGGGCUAGCGUUAUCCGGAUUUACUGGGCGUAAAGGGGGCGUAGGCGGUCUUUCAAGUCAGGAGUGAAAGGCUACGGCUCAACCGGAGUAAGCUCUUGAAACUGGGAGACUUGAGUGCAGGAGAGGAGAGUGGAAUUCCUAGUGUAGCG